Molecule: long non-coding RNA, 189 nt
Organism: Stegastes partitus (bicolor damselfish)
Lineage: Eukaryota; Metazoa; Chordata; Actinopteri; Pomacentridae
Exons: 2
Source: RefSeq, a predicted model, not a curated record
AACGCUUUUUUAAUGUGGAACCUUUCUCCAAAAAUUCAUCCCAUAUUUGGUGGAUAAACAUCCUUUAUUAAUGGAGUGAGGGCUGCUGUCAGCACCAGUGCUCAUCCCUUCACUUGAUUUAAGGUUGAGAGUUCAAGCAAGACCCUGACUGACCCUGGUCAUUCUUUUGGUUUCCAGCCAACCCGAGGU